AGGUGGCGUUCUACAUAUAAACAUUACUCAAUGGACAACGAAGAAGACUGCAAUUAAUAACAAAUCUCAUGACAGACAAGCGUAUAUUUAAAUUGGACCUCAUUGGAAAUGGACUGGACUCGUCCUAAUGGGCGUUCCUGAUGCUAGUGAUGUAGACAAAGAAGCCACAACUAUUAGAAAAGAAUGUCCAGACUGAAAGGGCAACAGAACUUUCCAAUUAUUCAUAGAUAGUAAUGUUGUAUUAUUACUGCUAAUGUUUAUCUUAUUAAUAAAGUAACCCAUUUGUUGUGAAGAAUAUAGACAUUUAAGAUAAUGAGAUAUAACAUUUUGAGGAUUAAAAUCAGGUCUAUUGAUUUUUGCCGGAUGUACAUGAUAUAAACCUACAGUAUAUAAAUAUAAAAUGUAUACAUAUAUCCAAACUUGAUUUCAAUGCUUGAAAAUAAAUAUCAAAUG
Molecule: long non-coding RNA, 453 nt
Filed under: Anneissia japonica
Lineage: Eukaryota; Metazoa; Echinodermata; Crinoidea; Comatulida; Comatulidae
Description: uncharacterized LOC117119944
Source: RNAcentral